Molecule: long non-coding RNA, 569 nt
Organism: Sarcophilus harrisii (Tasmanian devil)
Lineage: Eukaryota; Metazoa; Chordata; Mammalia; Dasyuromorphia; Dasyuridae
Exons: 6
Source: RefSeq, a predicted model, not a curated record
CCUGAUUCUGUUUAUGUCACUUUGCAUCAGUUCAUGUAUCAAGACAUAUUUGCACAAGAGAAGGAAUUUGUAAGUGGCACAAUGAAUCUAAUGCUGGAUCUGGAGUCAGGAGCCAAUCAGGGCUGGGUUCAAAUUCAGCCCUAGACACUACCUCUCUGAUCUUGGGAGGCAGAAGAAGGGAAGGAGAACAUUCAGUUCAAUCCAUACAAAAAUAGGGCUCUUGUAAGGAGCAAAUAAGCUACGAUGCUGUGCCAUGUAUCCUAUCAGUAUGUUUGACUGAUGCAAUUCCUCAUCUAGACUAGGCUGGUGAGCCAGCUUCUCAGAGAAUCAUCACGAUGUGUAACACAAGUACCUUGAAGAGAUUUGGAGGUCCUGGAAAUCCCAAGGAACAGAUCAUUACAGAAUUUAUCUGAAGUCCAUUCAUGUCAAUUAAGCUAGCUUUGAAGAGGAAAAAGGACAGAUGAGACCCAGAGGAUUUCUGCUGAAGAAAUGCAUGAAGCUCUUCUUCCAAUGUUGAUAUUUCAUUCCAGGCUUCUCCAAAUCACUGAUAAUAAAUACUUUGAUAGCUU